GCGGACGUGGCGGAACGGUAUACGCGCAACGUUGAGGUCGUUGUGGGCUUAGGCUCAUGGAGGUUCAAAUCCUCUCGUCCGCAC
RNAcentral lists this transfer RNA (84 nucleotides) under Arthrobacter phage Racecar. Its description in RNAcentral is "tRNA-Leu". It matches the Rfam family "tRNA". From Rfam's summary of the family: Transfer RNA (tRNA) molecules are approximately 80 nucleotides in length. Their secondary structure includes four short double-helical elements and three loops (D, anti-codon, and T loops). Further hydrogen bonds mediate the characteristic L-shaped molecular structure. tRNAs have two regions of fundamental functional importance: the anti-codon, which is responsible for specific mRNA codon recognition, and the 3' end, to which the tRNAs corresponding amino acid is attached (by aminoacyl-tRNA synthetases). tRNAs cope with the degeneracy of the genetic code in two manners: having more than one tRNA (with a specific anti-codon) for a particular amino acid; and 'wobble' base-pairing, i.e. permitting non-standard base-pairing at the 3rd anti-codon position. Lineage: Duplodnaviria; Heunggongvirae; Uroviricota; Caudoviricetes. The record is from RNAcentral. RNAcentral also lists the same sequence under 3 other names.